Molecule: ribosomal RNA, 636 nt
Filed under: uncultured bacterium
Lineage: Bacteria
Description: bacterial SSU rRNA
Rfam family: Bacterial small subunit ribosomal RNA (bases 1-542)
Source: RNAcentral
CCUACGGGAGGCAGCAGUGGGGAAUUUUGGACAAUGGGCGAAAGCCUGAUCCAGCCAUGCCGCGUGCAGGAUGAAGGCCUUCGGGUUGUAAACUGCUUUUGUACGGAACGAAAAGACUCUGGUUAAUACCUGGGGUCCAUGACGGUACCGUAAGAAUAAGCACCGGCUAACUACGUGCCAGCAGCCGCGGUAAUACGUAGGGUGCAAGCGUUAAUCGGAAUUACUGGGCGUAAAGCGUGCGCAGGCGGUUAUAUAAGACAGAUGUGAAAUCCCCGGGCUCAACCUGGGAACUGCAUUUGUGACUGUAUAGCUAGAGUACGGUAGAGGGGGAUGGAAUUCCGCGUGUAGCAGUGAAAUGCGUAGAUAUGCGGAGGAACACCGAUGGCGAAGGCAAUCCCCUGGACCUGUACUGACGCUCAUGCACGAAAGCGUGGGGAGCAAACAGGAUUAGAUACCCUGGUAGUCCACGCCCUAAACGAUGUCAACUGGUUGUUGGGUCUUCACUGACUCAGUAACGAAGCUAACGCGUGAAGUUGACCGCCUGGGGAGGACGGUCCGGCGAGUUAGUUAAACGUUAAAGUUAGUUAAGUUAGACGGCGUUGAGACGUUGCCGACGGACGACGACGAGGGAGGAGG